GACGAACGCUGGCGGCGUGCUUAACACAUGCAAGUCGAACGGAAAGGCCCUGCUUUUGUGGGGUGCUCGAGUGGCGAACGGGUGAGUAACACGUGAGUAACCUGCCCUUGACUUUGGGAUAACUUCAGGAAACUGGGGCUAAUACCGGAUAGGAGCUCCUGCUGCAUGGUGGGGGUUGGAAAGUUUCGGCGGUUGGGGAUGGACUCGCGGCUUAUCAGCUUGUUGGUGGGGUAGUGGCUUACCAAGGCUUUGACGGGUAGCCGGCCUGGGAGGGUGACCGGCCACAUUGGGACUGAGGUACGGCCCAGACUCCUACGGGAGGCAGCAGUGGGGAAUAUUGCACAAUGGGCGGCAGCCUGAUGCAGCAACGCCGCGUGCGGGAUGACGGCCUUCGGGUUGUAAACCGCUUUCGCCUGUGACGAAGCGUGAGUGACGGUAAUGGGUAAAGAAGCACCGGCUAACUACGUG
This 468-nucleotide ribosomal RNA is filed under the name uncultured bacterium. RNAcentral describes it as "partial 16S ribosomal RNA". It matches the Rfam family "Bacterial small subunit ribosomal RNA", at positions 28 to 507 of the family's 1533-position model. The record is from RNAcentral.